AUAAGCCUAGGGGGGCAGCAGUAGGGAAUCUUCCACAAUGGGCGAAAGCCUGAUGGAGCAACGCCGCGUGGGUGAAGAAGGUCUUCGGAUCGUAAAACCCUGUUGUUAGAGAAGAAAGUGCGUGAGAGUAACUGUUCACGUUUCGACGGUAUCUAACCAGAAAGCCACGGCUAACUACGUGCCAGCAGCCGCGGUAAUACGUAGGUGGCAAGCGUUAUCCGGAUUUAUUGGGCGUAAAGGGAACGCAGGC
RNAcentral lists this ribosomal RNA (250 nucleotides) under uncultured bacterium. RNAcentral describes it as "partial 16S ribosomal RNA". It matches the Rfam family "Bacterial small subunit ribosomal RNA", at positions 333 to 576 of the family's 1533-position model. The record is from RNAcentral.